ACAAGUAUGGAGCUGGAGGACAUUAUGUUAAGUGAAGGCUAAGAGGAGGAUUGUAAGUGAUUCAGAAGCAAAGCUUAUUGAUCACGAAGCAUGACAGUGGAAGAAUUUCCUGAAAAUGGAAGGAGAAGAUGGUUUCACAGCAAAGCUACUAAUCUGAAACAGUAAAAGCAACAAACAAAUGCCCACUCCCCUUAGCUGACCAGAACACAAUCCUUGUGAAAUAUAAAAACAAUUAGGUACAUGUAACACAGGACACUGUUUUUCAAAUUUAAUGUUAACAGUGGGAUUAUUUGUUUUCCCUGCGACAAAUUUCUUUGUGGGAGUCUGAUAUAUCAAAUAGGAUUGGUAAAGUGAAGCAGGCACGGGCAUCUAGAAUUCUGCUGCUUCGUACUGCCCCUUCCCAGUCCCCAGUGGCCAGGAGAUGCCCCAUCAGAGCUCCAGGGCUCUCAGAUCAUUGUUUGAAAACUACUCAUCAGAAUGUCUCUUUGAAUCAGAGCUUGGAUUUCUGAUGCAUCGGACAUUUAAACUCUCCCCGUUUUGCCACCUCUCUUGCAGUGAGUUAACCUAAAACAUAAAGGGAAAAAGCAACAACAAAAAAGAUCAAAAAAGCCCAAACGAUCAAAAAAGGCACGCUGAAAUCUGUGUCCUCACCUAUUCAGAAAGUCAGGGGAAAAAAAGAUAAAAGAAUAAAUCCUAAGCAAAAGCAACUUUCCAUCGAGAUGACAAGACAGAAGCUGCUUCCUGUGCAGGAAAUGCGAGAUCUCUGCUCAGUGACAGAGGCUCAGGAAUUUCAUAGGACCUAUGGAUCUUCCAGUCCAACUGAGUGCAGAAAACUGCCAGGUUUCAUCUUCCUCCUUCUCUGCACCAAAAAACCUGAGACCGGGAUGCCAUGUAGCUGCUUCAGUUGGGAGAUGAUGCCAAGAACCACAAAUGAGGAAAUGAAGGGUCUGGCUCUUAUCACCUCUGAAUAGCAUGCCAUUCUCUUAGCCUCAUCUAAGAAACAGACUGUAGGGGAAGAGAAGAUCUAGAAUGUUGGUCACCAACCAAUGGCAGACAUUAUCAGACAAUUUGUGAGCAAGGAAGUCAGGAACUGUGAGCCACCUGCCAUCUUAAUUUGACAUCUAGUCUCACUACUUUCAAGCACCUCCACUUCAAAAUACUCUUACAAGUGAAUCACCAUUGUUAAAUGGAUCUUUGAAGGAAUUUUGACAACCAGACUGAAAACAAUCUAGACAUCUUAGAUAUUUGUGGCUUCACAGAAAAUAAAAUAAAACAACCCUUUUCAGCA
RNAcentral lists this long non-coding RNA (1288 nucleotides) under Homo sapiens (human). RNAcentral's name for it is "HSALNT0346029". The record is from RNAcentral. Lineage: Eukaryota; Metazoa; Chordata; Mammalia; Primates; Hominidae.